This 3028-nucleotide ribosomal RNA is filed under the name Salmonella enterica subsp. enterica serovar Anatum. Its description in RNAcentral is "23S ribosomal RNA". It matches the Rfam family "Bacterial large subunit ribosomal RNA". The record is from RNAcentral. Lineage: Bacteria; Pseudomonadati; Pseudomonadota; Gammaproteobacteria; Enterobacterales; Enterobacteriaceae.
GGGUUGUGAGGUUAAGCGACUAAGCGUACACGGUGGAUGCCCUGGCAGUCAGAGGCGAUGAAGGGCGUGCUAAUCUGCGAUAAGCGCCGGUAAGGUGAUAUGAACCGUUAUAACCGGCGAUACCCGAAUGGGGAAACCCAGUGUGAUUCGUCACACUAUCAUUAACUGAAUCCAUAGGUUAAUGAGGCGAACCGGGGGAACUGAAACAUCUAAGUACCCCGAGGAAAAGAAAUCAACCGAGAUUCCCCCAGUAGCGGCGAGCGAACGGGGAGGAGCCCAGAGCCUGAAUCAGCAUGUGUGUUAGUGGAAGCGUCUGGAAAGGCGCGCGAUACAGGGUGACAGCCCCGUACACAAAAGCGCAUGUGCUGUGAGCUCGAUGAGUAGGGCGGGACACGUGGUAUCCUGUCUGAAUAUGGGGGGACCAUCCUCCAAGGCUAAAUACUCCUGACUGACCGAUAGUGAACCAGUACCGUGAGGGAAAGGCGAAAAGAACCCCGGCGAGGGGAGUGAAAAAGAACCUGAAACCGUGUACGUACAAGCAGUGGGAGCCCCACCACUAAGCCAGUGGUGAACUCCACAUACGCAUCCUUUGCUGAGGAUACGGUUAACGGAGCGAAAGCGACGUUCAACCGCAAAAGAAGCAGAGGGGGCUUAGUGGUGGGGUGACUGCGUACCUUUUGUAUAAUGGGUCAGCGACUUAUAUUCUGUAGCAAGGUUAACCGAAUAGGGGAGCCGGAGGGAAACCGAGUCUUAAUUGGGCGUUAAGUUGCAGGGUAUAGACCCGAAACCCGGUGAUCUAGCCAUGGGCAGGUUGAAGGUUGGGUAACACUAACUGGAGGACCGAACCGACUAAUGUUGAAAAAUUAGCGGAUGACCUGUGGCUGGGGGUGAAAGGCCAAUCAAACCGGGAGAUAGCUGGUUCUCCCCGAAAGCUAUUUAGGUAGCGCCUCGUGAAUUCAUCUCCGGGGGUAGAGCACUGUUUCGGCUAGGGGGCCAUCCCGGCUUACCAACCCGAUGCAAACUGCGAAUACCGGAGAAUGUUAUCACGGGAGACACACGGCGGGUGCUAACGUCCGUCGUGAAGAGGGAAACAACCCAGACCGCCAGCUAAGGUCCCAAAGUCAUGGUUAAGUGGGAAACGAUGUGGGAAGGCCCAGACAGCCAGGAUGUUGGCUUAGAAGCAGCCAUCAUUUAAAGAAAGCGUAAUAGCUCACUGGUCGAGUCGGCCUGCGCGGAAGAUGUAACGGGGCUAAACCAUGCACCGAAGCUGCGGCAGCGACACUCAGGUGUUGUUGGGUAGGGGAGCGUUCUGUAAGCCUGUGAAGGUGGCCUGUGAGGGUUGCUGGAGGUAUCAGAAGUGCGAAUGCUGACAUAAGUAACGAUAAAGCGGGUGAAAAGCCCGCUCGCCGGAAGACCAAGGGUUCCUGUCCAACGUUAAUCGGGGCAGGGUGAGUCGACCCCUAAGGCGAGGCCGAAAGGCGUAGUCGAUGGGAAACGGGUUAAUAUUCCCGUACUUGGUGUUACUGCGAAGGGGGGACGGAGAAGGCUAUGUUGGCCGGGCGACGGUUGUCCCGGUUUAAGCGUGUAGGUGUGUGUUCCAGGUAAAUCCGGUUCACUUUAACACUGAGGCGUGAUGACGAGGCACUACGGUGCUGAAGCAACAAAUGCCCUGCUUCCAGGAAAAGCCUCUAAGCAUCAGGUAACAUCAAAUCGUACCCCAAACCGACACAGGUGGUCAGGUAGAGAAUACCAAGGCGCUUGAGAGAACUCGGGUGAAGGAACUAGGCAAAAUGGUGCCGUAACUUCGGGAGAAGGCACGCUGACACGUAGGUGAAGUGAUUUACUCAUGGAGCUGAAGUCAGUCGAAGAUACCAGCUGGCUGCAACUGUUUAUUAAAAACACAGCACUGUGCAAACACGAAAGUGGACGUAUACGGUGUGACGCCUGCCCGGUGCCGGAAGGUUAAUUGAUGGGGUCAGCGCAAGCGAAGCUCCUGAUCGAAGCCCCGGUAAACGGCGGCCGUAACUAUAACGGUCCUAAGGUAGCGAAAUUCCUUGUCGGGUAAGUUCCGACCUGCACGAAUGGCGUAAUGAUGGCCAGGCUGUCUCCACCCGAGACUCAGUGAAAUUGAACUCGCUGUGAAGAUGCAGUGUACCCGCGGCAAGACGGAAAGACCCCGUGAACCUUUACUAUAGCUUGACACUGAACAUUGAGCCUUGAUGUGUAGGAUAGGUGGGAGGCUUUGAAGUGUGGACGCCAGUCUGCAUGGAGCCGACCUUGAAAUACCACCCUUUAAUGUUUGAUGUUCUAACGUGGACCCGUGAUCCGGGUUGCGGACAGUGUCUGGUGGGUAGUUUGACUGGGGCGGUCUCCUCCUAAAGAGUAACGGAGGAGCACGAAGGUUGGCUAAUCCUGGUCGGACAUCAGGAGGUUAGUGCAAUGGCAUAAGCCAGCUUGACUGCGAGCGUGACGGCGCGAGCAGGUGCGAAAGCAGGUCAUAGUGAUCCGGUGGUUCUGAAUGGAAGGGCCAUCGCUCAACGGAUAAAAGGUACUCCGGGGAUAACAGGCUGAUACCGCCCAAGAGUUCAUAUCGACGGCGGUGUUUGGCACCUCGAUGUCGGCUCAUCACAUCCUGGGGCUGAAGUAGGUCCCAAGGGUAUGGCUGUUCGCCAUUUAAAGUGGUACGCGAGCUGGGUUUAGAACGUCGUGAGACAGUUCGGUCCCUAUCUGCCGUGGGCGCUGGAGAACUGAGGGGGGCUGCUCCUAGUACGAGAGGACCGGAGUGGACGCAUCACUGGUGUUCGGGUUGUCAUGCCAAUGGCACUGCCCGGUAGCUAAAUGCGGAAGAGAUAAGUGCUGAAAGCAUCUAAGCACGAAACUUGCCCCGAGAUGAGUUCUCCCUGAGACUUAGAGUCUCCUGAAGGAACGUUGAAGACGACGACGUUGAUAGGCCGGGUGUGUAAGCGCAGCGAUGCGUUGAGCUAACCGGUACUAAUGAACCGUGAGGCUUAACCUUACAACGCCGAAG